Molecule: long non-coding RNA, 1902 nt
Organism: Manacus vitellinus (golden-collared manakin)
Lineage: Eukaryota; Metazoa; Chordata; Aves; Passeriformes; Pipridae
Exons: 5
Source: RefSeq, a predicted model, not a curated record
CUUUGAUUUAAAAUGUCAUACUAAGUGAGGAAUUUGAAAGCAAUCCAUGCAGUAGCAAUGCUUCUCUUUGUUUCAUACUUACACUUACUUUUUCUAUCACUUGUGCAGGUCUGUGCUAUUCAGUGAAGCAUGUUGAGCAUACUAAAGGUUAACCUCAGGAAUAAAUCUGUUGCUGAAUAAGGGAGAUGAUCUGAACCACAGCCAAAACCUUGUGAUUUGCAAAUCCACCCUUUACCUGAGUCUUAAAUUAUUUCUGUGUGCUGGGAAUUCUUUUCUGGAAGAUGGAGCAGAACCACAUUUUCUGCCUUGGUGACCCAGCAGCCUUUUGAGCAAAACAAUGGAAAGAGCCCAUCCUAGACUCCCUACAGGCAGCAGUCUUCACUUCUUGAAGAUGUUUUCUGUGUGAGCAGUGAGACUGAAGAUUAUUUGUGACCUUCCAUAAAGACCAGAAAACAGUCUGUGGUUGGAAAUAUCAAUGUCAAACAGGUUCAAACUGAAGUUCAAAAGCUCUUAGAAACCCUGCUGGAGACAAAUCCUGGGCUCGGUGCACAUUUGGUGUGAUCAGCUGUGGCUCUCAGUAUUCUAACACUCAUCAUGUGCCUCACUGGUGUCAGGAGAGAUUUGGGCUGUGUACUAAUGGCUGUGGAGCUUGAUGGGCAUGUUGGUGGGAGUUGACUGAACGGAUUUAGCAGGUGAUGAAGUCAGCUUCCUCUAGACUCACCUUAGUUGCUUCCCCUCCUUGAUGAACCUUUUCCUUUAAGUCACCCUGGGAAGCAGCACUACUGGGAAGCAGCUCCUCCUGCAAGAGAUGAGCAUUCAUGUCAUGACACUGCUGAGGAUUCACAGUACAUCUACACAGGUGCCCUCAGUCCACCAAGGUGUCCCCUCGAGUCUGAAGCUCCUGAGUGGCUGGAGUUGGCUCCUUACUACUUUAAUUCUCUCUCAUUUUCUGUGUCUUAGACACAGGGCACUGUGUCCUAGCACUGAGGGGAGUGGCAGGAGUUACAGCACCAAAACAAAGCCUGCAUCCUAUUGUGAUCACAGGCCCUGAAAAACGUUCAGCUAUGGUUUGUCCCUUUGUUUUGGACCUGCCAAUCACAUUGUGGGACCGAGAUGCCUUGGGACAAUGGGGACUUGGUCUUACUACAAAUUUGUCCUAAGGGCCACUGAACAGCAGCUGGUCCCUGCCCUAACCUGGACGACAGAUAAGCUGGUUUGAGUGGACCAGUGGCUGAUUAGAAAGGACAAGCUGCAACACCUUCAAGCCCUCGUUCAAGAACAACUUUUAGCAAGACAUAUUUGUGCUUCUACCAGUCCCUGGAAUUCCCCAGUGUUUGUGAUCCAAAAAAGAAGUGGCAAGUGGCCACUUGCCACUCUGGAACAGGGAUUUGAAUCACAUUUUCCCAGAUGCCUUAGCCACUACCAAAUAGGUUUGCAAUGCUUCUUUGUCUGGUUCAGAGUCUGUUUUGUUACUCAGACCAUGUCGAAAUGCCCUGGCAGGAAGAGAGCCUGGCUCUCAGUCCAGGACUAACAGUCACCGGGUGCUCAGGGUUCUCUGCUGGUAAGGAAGAUCAUUCUCUGACUGAGAAGAAUCUGCUGAUUAUUCUGAAAUCCUCUCCCAUUGCAGCAGACAUGUGACUCCAUUGAAAAGUUCACAUCUGAGAAGACCCUGGGGAAGAAAUACAGAGGUGCCUAAAGCCCUGCUCCAUCCACUAACAUCUCAUUUCUUACCUAAUCUCUUUGGUACCCUUUUCUAGAAAUCUAAUUCUCUGCACAGGUUCUUGGGGAAACCUUUCUUUAGCAAAGACAGCCAAUGAUCCAAAGUCUGUGAUGCUGACCCUAAAUAUGUUUUUUCAGAUGUUGCUGAUGAGCUUUCCUAUCUUCUUCAUGUGCUGCUCAUUG